UACGUAAGUGGCGAGCGUUAUCCGGAAUUACUGGGCGUAAAGCGUGCGUAGGCGGUUUAGUGUGUGGGAAUUGAAAGCCCGGGGCUCAACUCCGGAUCCGGUUCCCAAACUGCUAGACUUGAGCGUAUCAGAGGACAGUGGAAUUCCCGGUGUAGCGGUAAUAUGCGUAGAUAUCGGGAGGAACACCGGUGGCGAAGGCGGUUCUCUGGGCCUUACCUGACGCUGAGGAGCGAAAGCGUGGGGAGCGAACAGG
Molecule: ribosomal RNA, 253 nt
Filed under: uncultured bacterium
Lineage: Bacteria
Description: partial 16S ribosomal RNA
Rfam family: Bacterial small subunit ribosomal RNA
Source: RNAcentral